AGCGAACGCUGGCGGCAGGCCUAACACAUGCAAGUCGAACGGACCCUUCGGGGUUAGUGGCGGACGGGUGAGUAACACGUGGGAACGUGCCUUUAGGUUCGGAAUAGCUCCUGGAAACGGGUGGUAAUGCCGAAUGUGCCCUUGGGGGGAAAGAUUUAUCGCCUUUAGAGCGGCCCGCGUCUGAUUAGCUAGUUGGUGAGGUAAAGGCUCACCAAGGCGACGAUCAGUAGCUGGUCUGAGAGGAUGACCAGCCACAUUGGGACUGAGACACGGCCCAAACGCCUACGGGAGGCAGCAGUGGGGAAUCUUGCGCAAUGGGCGAAAGCCUGACGGAGCGACACCGCGUGGAGGAUGAAGUCCAAUUCGGACGUAAACACCUGUUCUGAGGGACGAAAUUUUUGACGGUACCUCAGGAGAAAGCAUCGGCUAACCCUGUGCCAGCAGCCGCGGUAA
This 453-nucleotide ribosomal RNA is filed under the name uncultured bacterium. RNAcentral describes it as "partial 16S ribosomal RNA". It matches the Rfam family "Bacterial small subunit ribosomal RNA", at positions 29 to 523 of the family's 1533-position model. The record is from RNAcentral.